GGGGAAUAUUGCGCAAUGGGGGGAACCCUGACGCAGCGACGCCGCGUGAAGGAAGAAGGCCUUCGGGUUGUAAACUUCUUUGAUUGGGGAAGAAAAAUGACGGUACCCAAAGAACAAGCCACGGCUAACUACGUGCCAGCAGCCGCGGUAAUACGUAGGUGGCGAGCGUUAUCCGGAAUUACUGGGUGUAAAGGGCGUGUAGGCGGGGAUGCAAGUCAGAUGUGAAAUUCCGGGGCUCAACCUCGGCACUGCAUCUGAAACUGUGUCUCUUGAGUGCUGGAGAGGAAAGUGGAAUUCCUAGUGUAGCGGUGAAAUGCGUAGAGAUUAGGAGGAACACCAGUGGCGAAGGCGGCUUCCUGGCCCGCGACUGACGCUCAUGUGCGAAAGCCAGGGGAGCGAACC
This 402-nucleotide ribosomal RNA is filed under the name uncultured Oscillospiraceae bacterium. RNAcentral describes it as "bacterial SSU rRNA". It matches the Rfam family "Bacterial small subunit ribosomal RNA", at positions 356 to 774 of the family's 1533-position model. Lineage: Bacteria; Bacillati; Bacillota; Clostridia; Eubacteriales; Oscillospiraceae. The record is from RNAcentral.